RNAcentral lists this ribosomal RNA (725 nucleotides) under uncultured bacterium. RNAcentral's name for it is "bacterial SSU rRNA". It matches the Rfam family "Bacterial small subunit ribosomal RNA", at positions 54 to 771 of the family's 1533-position model. The record is from RNAcentral.
CAUGCAGUCGAGCGGCAGCACAGAGAAACUUGUUUCUCGGGUGGCGAGCGGCGGACGGGUGAGUAAUGCCUGGGAAAUUGCCCUGAUGUGGGGGAUAACCAUUGGAAACGAUGGCUAAUACCGCAUGAUAGCUUCGGCUCAAAGAGGGGGACCUUCGGGCCUCUCGCGUCAGGAUAUGCCUAGGUGGGAUUAGCUAGUUGGUGAGGUAAGGGCUCACCAAGGCGACGAUCCCUAGCUGGUCUGAGAGGAUGAUCAGCCACACUGGAACUGAGACACGGUCCAGACUCCUACGGGAGGCAGCAGUGGGGAAUAUUGCACAAUGGGCGCAAGCCUGAUGCAGCCAUGCCGCGUGUGUGAAGAAGGCCUUCGGGUUGUAAAGCACUUUCAGUAGGGAGGAAGGUGGUAGUGUUAAUAGCGCUAUCAUUUGACGUUACCUACAGAAGAAGCACCGGCUAACUCCGUGCCAGCAGCCGCGGUAAUACGGAGGGUGCGAGCGUUAAUCGGAAUUACUGGGCGUAAAGCGCAUGCAGGUGGUUUGUUAAGUCAGAUGUGAAAGCCCCGGGCUCAACCUGGGAAUUGCAUUUGAAACUGGCAAACUAGAGUACUGUAGAGGGGGUAGAAUUUCAGUGUAGCGGUGAAAUGCGUAGAGAUCUGAAGGAAUACCGGUGGCGAAGGCGGCCCCUGGAACGAAUACUGACACUCAGAUGCGAAGCGUGGGGGAGCAA